GAUGAACGCUGGCGGCGUGCUUAACACAUGCAAGUCGAACGGAAAGGCCCCUGCUUGCAGGGGUACUCGAGUGGCGCACGGGUGAGUAACACGUGGGUGAUCUGCCCUGCACUUCGGGAUAAGCCUGGGAAACUGGGUCUACUACCGGUUAGGCCGAUGGUUUGGAUGCCAUUGUGGAAAGUUUUUCGGUGUGGGUUGAGCUGGCGGCCUAUCAGCUUGUUGGUGGGGUGAUGGCGUACCAGGGCGUCGACGGGUAGCCGGCCUGCGAGGGUGUACGGGCGCAUUGGGACAGAGAUACGGCCGAGGCAGCGACGGGAGGCAGUAGUGGGGAAGAGUGCACAAGGGGCGCAGGCGUGGUGCGGCGGCUCCGCGUGGGGGAUGAGUGCCUUCGUGUUGAAAACGCCUUUCGCAAGGGACUAGGCGUUUUGUGACGGUACCGGGAGAAGAAGCACCGGCUAACUACGUG
This 466-nucleotide ribosomal RNA is filed under the name uncultured bacterium. Its description in RNAcentral is "partial 16S ribosomal RNA". It matches the Rfam family "Bacterial small subunit ribosomal RNA", at positions 28 to 507 of the family's 1533-position model. The record is from RNAcentral.